Pelobates cultripes (western spadefoot toad) is the source of this 2293-nucleotide non-coding RNA. NCBI's taxonomy places the organism in Eukaryota, Metazoa, Chordata, Amphibia, Anura, Pelobatidae. The record is from the annotation of a GenBank genome assembly.
GGAAACCCCUGAUUAAAUUGCAAUUUAGUCACCAGCUUAACCAGUUUAGGACACUGGCACCUUAACCAGUAGGUUGGGUCAAGCUAUAGUAAGAGUUCUGAUAUUGACCCAGCCAUCACAGAGAAUGAUGAAAAGCCUAAUUUGGUGAGGAUAGUUUAAACACAAAUAUGGUUUGUACAUGAAAAAGGAAUUAGCUUAAGUGACCUAAAUAGCAAAAAAAGUGUGUGUGUAUAUCUCCACAGCCCUGGCAGAGUCAAGAUAUUAUAUUGGGGGGAGAAUGGAGGGAGUAUAUUUGGUGCAAAAUAUAAUUCUUUAGAAAUUAGUAAUUUACAAUAAGUUUUAAACUACAUAUUGUUUGAGCAAGCUCCCCCUCCGGCAUGUUGUGAUUUGUUAAUGGAGAUGCACGAGGGUCUAAGGAUCCUGGAGAAUUUAAGGAUUGCUUUGGAAAAGAGACAUUAAUUAAAGAUAGUCCAUUCAUUCCCUAUUAGUGAUGUCCUGAACGGUUCGCCGCGGACUCCAGUCAGCAGACACAUUCCAGCCAAUCAGCAGCAGACCCUCCCUCCCACCUCCUGGACAGCUCACUAAGAAUGCAGUUUCAAAAUGGAUGCUGUCCAGGAGGUGGGAGGGUCUGCUGCUGAUUGGCUGGAAUGUGUCUGCUGACUGGAGUCCACGGCGACUAUCUUUAGUUCUCAUACCGCAGGUUGCAGAAUUUGUUAUUUCUAUAUAUCAACUGGCAGAUCGUGUUUGCAACCACAUAAUACACAGACUCACAUCACAUUGAAUUGGUUCCUGUAAUUCACAGUGCCAUACUGCCAUACUGUAAAUUUAAGUUAUUUUUAAAUGUAUUAGCAGUAAUGUCUCUAGCAAGUGAGUUUUGAGACUAGAGCAAUAGUCGCCAAAUUGUGUAGCCCCAGUGAGUUACUCCUCUCACCUGGUCUGUGUUUUCGCUGCAUGAUUGCCAAGAAAGAUGCAGUGAUUUGGGACAGCUGUCCAAUUCCUAAAGAAAGUAUUUGUGGGAGCAUGUCCGUUUGAGUGUGAGAGGUUUUCCAUGCUAUUACAUUAACCCCUUAGUGACCAGACCAUUUUUUUAUUUUCUUAGCGUUCAGGACCAGAGCUGUUCUUACAUUUCUGCUGUGUUUGUGUUUAGCUGUAAUUUUCCUCUUACUCAUUUACUGUACCCACACAUUAUAUUUACAGUUUUUCUCGCCAUUAAAUGGUCUUUCAAUAGAUAUUAUAUUCAUCAUAUAACGAUAAAUAUAAAAAUAAAAAACCUUUUCUAACUUUGAAAAGCAGAAACUUUUACGCAUCUACCACCACCAAAAAAACACCUGUGCUAAAUAGUUUCUAAGUUUUGUCUAGAAAUACCCAAUGUUAACUUUUUUUGCUGUAAGUAUAAGUAGGACAGUGCGGUUUCAAAAUAUAUAUUUUUAAAAUGUAUCAAUAGUGACAUUGUAACACCAUUAUCUGUCAUAAAUCUCUGAAUCACACCUCACAUGCACAUAUUUUUUUUCAAAGUAGACAUCCCCGGGUAUUCAACUUAGUCACAAACACUGAGCAAAGUAAUCAUUUAUAUUUGUUUUUGUGUUAAAAAUGCAAAAAAAAAAAAAAGCUACCUUUGGCCAGUGUUUGCGACUAAGUGGCUACUUAAAAAGACUAAACAUACCCCCAUAUUGAAUACCCUGGGUUGUCUACUUUGAAAAAAAAAUAUGUACAUGUGAGGUGUGAUUCAGAGAUUUAUGACAGAUAACAAUGCAAUACCUUGGAUUAUCUUCUUUUGCAAAUGGUAUGCCAUCAUGGGGGUAAUUCUCAUUCCUGGGCUACCAUACGCUCUCAAAGGCAACAUAAUGAAUCUGGCAAAUUUCAAUGUGAAAAACUGAAAAUCAAGCCUUCUAUUUGACCCUAUAACUUUCAAAAACACUAUAAAACUUGUACACAUGUUAUACUCGGGGGACUUCGCUGAACACAUAUUGGUGUUUCAAAACCGUAACACUACAAUGAUAUCAUCAGUGAAAGUGCAGUUUGUGUGUGAAAAAUGCAAACAAUUUCACUUUUUACUGACAAUAUCAUUGUUGUGAUAUGUUCUACUGUUUUGAAACACUAACAUUUGGGUUCAGCAAAGUCUCUCGAGUAAAACAGCACCCGCCACGUACAGGUGUCAUGGAAAGUUACAGGGUUCAAUACUGUGCUAGCAAAUUAAAUUAUCUGGACUUUCAGCCUGGGUUGUCAGGCAGGUCCCUCAUAUUGCAAUAAAAAAAAAAAAAAAAUUUACAUAAAUAUGCACGUAGAAUUUAAU